RNAcentral lists this ribosomal RNA (3006 nucleotides) under Salmonella enterica. Its description in RNAcentral is "bacterial LSU rRNA". It matches the Rfam family "Bacterial large subunit ribosomal RNA". Lineage: Bacteria; Pseudomonadati; Pseudomonadota; Gammaproteobacteria; Enterobacterales; Enterobacteriaceae. RNAcentral also lists the same sequence under 3 other names. The record is from RNAcentral.
UUAAGCGACUAAGCGUACACGGUGGAUGCCCUGGCAGUCAGAGGCGAUGAAGGGCGUGCUAAUCUGCGAUAAGCGCCGGUAAGGUGAUAUGAACCGUUAUAACCGGCGAUACCCGAAUGGGGAAACCCAGUGUGACUCGUCACACUAUCAUUAACUGAAUCCAUAGGUUAAUGAGGCGAACCGGGGGAACUGAAACAUCUAAGUACCCCGAGGAAAAGAAAUCAACCGAGAUUCCCCCAGUAGCGGCGAGCGAACGGGGAGGAGCCCAGAGCCUGAAUCAGCAUGUGUGUUAGUGGAAGCGUCUGGAAAGGCGCGCGAUACAGGGUGACAGCCCCGUACACAAAAGCGCAUGUGCUGUGAGCUCGAUGAGUAGGGCGGGACACGUGGUAUCCUGUCUGAAUAUGGGGGGACCAUCCUCCAAGGCUAAAUACUCCUGACUGACCGAUAGUGAACCAGUACCGUGAGGGAAAGGCGAAAAGAACCCCGGCGAGGGGAGUGAAAAAGAACCUGAAACCGUGUACGUACAAGCAGUGGGAGCCCCACCACCAAAGCAUUCUCUGGUGUUGAAGGCCCUGCAAAGCAGCAUCGCGGUGGCGGAGCGUCGUUUGCGACGCCCAACACACAAAACAAGCGGUGAAUGCUUUGGGGUGGGGUGACUGCGUACCUUUUGUAUAAUGGGUCAGCGACUUAUAUUCUGUAGCAAGGUUAACCGAAUAGGGGAGCCGGAGGGAAACCGAGUCUUAAUUGGGCGUUAAGUUGCAGGGUAUAGACCCGAAACCCGGUGAUCUAGCCAUGGGCAGGUUGAAGGUUGGGUAACACUAACUGGAGGACCGAACCGACUAAUGUUGAAAAAUUAGCGGAUGACCUGUGGCUGGGGGUGAAAGGCCAAUCAAACCGGGAGAUAGCUGGUUCUCCCCGAAAGCUAUUUAGGUAGCGCCUCGUGAAUUCAUCUCCGGGGGUAGAGCACUGUUUCGGCUAGGGGGCCAUCCCGGCUUACCAACCCGAUGCAAACUGCGAAUACCGGAGAAUGUUAUCACGGGAGACACACGGCGGGUGCUAACGUCCGUCGUGAAGAGGGAAACAACCCAGACCGCCAGCUAAGGUCCCAAAGUCAUGGUUAAGUGGGAAACGAUGUGGGAAGGCCCAGACAGCCAGGAUGUUGGCUUAGAAGCAGCCAUCAUUUAAAGAAAGCGUAAUAGCUCACUGGUCGAGUCGGCCUGCGCGGAAGAUGUAACGGGGCUAAACCAUGCACCGAAGCUGCGGCAGCGACGCUGAUGCGUUGUUGGGUAGGGGAGCGUUCUGUAAGCCUGCGAAGGUGACCUGUGAGGGUUGCUGGAGGUAUCAGAAGUGCGAAUGCUGACAUAAGUAACGAUAAAGCGGGUGAAAAGCCCGCUCGCCGGAAGACCAAGGGUUCCUGUCCAACGUUAAUCGGGGCAGGGUGAGUCGACCCCUAAGGCGAGGCCGAAAGGCGUAGUCGAUGGGAAACGGGUUAAUAUUCCCGUACUUGGUGUUACUGCGAAGGGGGGACGGAGAAGGCUAUGUUGGCCGGGCGACGGUUGUCCCGGUUUAAGCGUGUAGGUGUGUGUUCCAGGUAAAUCCGGUUCACUUUAACACUGAGGCGUGAUGACGAGGCACUACGGUGCUGAAGCAACAAAUGCCCUGCUUCCAGGAAAAGCCUCUAAGCAUCAGGUAACAUCAAAUCGUACCCCAAACCGACACAGGUGGUCAGGUAGAGAAUACCAAGGCGCUUGAGAGAACUCGGGUGAAGGAACUAGGCAAAAUGGUGCCGUAACUUCGGGAGAAGGCACGCUGACACGUAGGUGAAGUGAUUUACUCACGGAGCUGAAGUCAGUCGAAGAUACCAGCUGGCUGCAACUGUUUAUUAAAAACACAGCACUGUGCAAACACGAAAGUGGACGUAUACGGUGUGACGCCUGCCCGGUGCCGGAAGGUUAAUUGAUGGGGUCAGCGCAAGCGAAGCUCCUGAUCGAAGCCCCGGUAAACGGCGGCCGUAACUAUAACGGUCCUAAGGUAGCGAAAUUCCUUGUCGGGUAAGUUCCGACCUGCACGAAUGGCGUAAUGAUGGCCAGGCUGUCUCCACCCGAGACUCAGUGAAAUUGAACUCGCUGUGAAGAUGCAGUGUACCCGCGGCAAGACGGAAAGACCCCGUGAACCUUUACUAUAGCUUGACACUGAACAUUGAGCCUUGAUGUGUAGGAUAGGUGGGAGGCUUUGAAGUGUGGACGCCAGUCUGCAUGGAGCCGACCUUGAAAUACCACCCUUUAAUGUUUGAUGUUCUAACGUGGACCCGUAAUCCGGGUUGCGGACAGUGUCUGGUGGGUAGUUUGACUGGGGCGGUCUCCUCCUAAAGAGUAACGGAGGAGCACGAAGGUUGGCUAAUCCUGGUCGGACAUCAGGAGGUUAGUGCAAUGGCAUAAGCCAGCUUGACUGCGAGCGUGACGGCGCGAGCAGGUGCGAAAGCAGGUCAUAGUGAUCCGGUGGUUCUGAAUGGAAGGGCCAUCGCUCAACGGAUAAAAGGUACUCCGGGGAUAACAGGCUGAUACCGCCCAAGAGUUCAUAUCGACGGCGGUGUUUGGCACCUCGAUGUCGGCUCAUCACAUCCUGGGGCUGAAGUAGGUCCCAAGGGUAUGGCUGUUCGCCAUUUAAAGUGGUACGCGAGCUGGGUUUAGAACGUCGUGAGACAGUUCGGUCCCUAUCUGCCGUGGGCGCUGGAGAACUGAGGGGGGCUGCUCCUAGUACGAGAGGACCGGAGUGGACGCAUCACUGGUGUUCGGGUUGUCAUGCCAAUGGCACUGCCCGGUAGCUAAAUGCGGAAGAGAUAAGUGCUGAAAGCAUCUAAGCACGAAACUUGCCCCGAGAUGAGUUCUCCCUGAGACUUUAGGUCUCCUGAAGGAACGUUGAAGACGACGACGUUGAUAGGCCGGGUGUGUAAGCGCAGCGAUGCGUUGAGCUAACCGGUACUAAUGAACCGUGAGGCUUAACCUU